This 1309-nucleotide long non-coding RNA is filed under the name Numida meleagris (helmeted guineafowl). RNAcentral describes it as "lncRNA (ENSNMEG00000012296.1)". Lineage: Eukaryota; Metazoa; Chordata; Aves; Galliformes; Numididae. The record is from RNAcentral.
UUUUGGUCAAAUAUGAGUGGAAUAUUUAAUUGCUGUAGCAUUGGUCUGCUCUUAGGUCAUGGCUGCGUAAGAACAGUUUCGGUGGCGAGAUCUGAGGCCUUUUGGUCACGAGGCUGAGAGGAGCGGGCUGCAGUAGUGACUGCUGCAUGGCAGAACCUCCCUUCUCUUUGGGGUCGGUCCCGCUCCGUGGGGUCCCUCAUGCUUCGUUUCCACGUGUGAAGAGACACACUGCGAUGCAGGGCACGGCGUGAGCCCGUCUGGACGCCGUUAACAGGGCCAAGGCGAGAGGCCAGGCAGGGCACGGGGCACCCGACAUUUUGGGAGCCCCGAGGGCCGCAGCCCCUCGAUCCCUUCAACAAGUGACAAGAUGGAGAAGUGUGGCUGUUCCGACCCCGCCCGGCGGGGCCCAGUCGGACGCCCCCGGCCCAACGGGGCGGGGCUGCAGGGCGGAGCGGCCCGCCCAGGGGCCGAGGUGAACGGCUCUCCACGGCCCGGCCGCACCUGGCGGCGCCUGCCCCGCCCCACCUGCCGGGACCGCCCGCGGCGCCCUCCAUUGCGCAGCCGACCGCCGGGGCCGGCGUCCCUCCGCGCCUCCCCCUCCCACAAUCCCUCCUCCGCUCGCCCCUCGCCUGUCCCCGUCUGAACCGGGGGGAGCCCGCCCCGCUCGGCGUCCCUCAGGCUCCGCCGCUUCCCCUCCCCCCGCGAGGCCGCCGCCCCUCCGCGUUGCCCGCCCGAGCCCCGCUUUCCCCCGCCUCCCGCCGCCCAGCGCGGGUCGCCGCCGCGCCCUGCCAUGAGCGCCCCGCCGCACUGAGCAGCACGCGCGGAGCCAUGCCGGGCUGGAAGAAGAACAUCCCCAUCUGCCUGCAAGCCGAGCAGGAGCGAGAUGGUGGAAGGUCGUGGCGUUCCUGCGGUGCUGGCUGCUGCCCUGUGCCCGGGCAACUCUGCGUGAGGUGGGGAGCUGCCGGCGGGCGCUGAGGCCAUGGAGCGCUUCCUGGGCUUCGUCAAGCAGAUACGGAGGUCGAGGAGGAGAAAAGGCAAAAAGUACCGCCCGGAGGAGGAUUACCACGAGGGCUAUGAGGAUGUCUAUUAUUACGCCUCUGAACAUUUUCGAAGUAAGUGUUUUGCGUAACCUCGCUUUCCUUUGGCUGUGAUAAACGUUACGUUUGUAAGAUUCUUUAAAAAAAAAAAAAAGGCAAACACCCUAAAGCCCAAACAGUAUUCCCUACUUGGUAGAACCUGAGCCCUGUGCUAGUAUGAAAGCUUCCGGCUAUAGAUUUGUCUGUCUGUGGCUGCUGAUGACCAGUGUGGA